This 501-nucleotide ribosomal RNA is filed under the name uncultured bacterium. RNAcentral describes it as "partial 16S ribosomal RNA". It matches the Rfam family "Bacterial small subunit ribosomal RNA", at positions 29 to 523 of the family's 1533-position model. The record is from RNAcentral.
AACGAACGCUGGCGGCAGGCUUAACACAUGCAAGUCGAGCGGGGAAAGGUAGCUUGCUACUGGACCUAGCGGCGGACGGGUGAGUAAUGCUUAGGAAUCUGCCUAUUAGUGGGGGACAACGUUCCGAAAGGAACGCUAAUACCGCAUACGUCCUACGGGAGAAAGCAGGGGAUCUUCGGACCUUGCGCUAAUAGAUGAGCCUAAGUCGGAUUAGCUAGUUGGUGGGGUAAAGGCCUACCAAGGCGACGAUCUGUAGCGGGUCUGAGAGGAUGAUCCGCCACACUGGGACUGAGACACGGCCCAGACUCCUACGGGAGGCAGCAGUGGGGAAUAUUGGACAAUGGGCGCAAGCCUGAUCCAGCCAUGCCGCGUGUGUGAAGAAGGCCUUUUGGUUGUAAAGCACUUUAAGCGAGGAGGAGGCUCCUUUAGUUAAUACCUAAAGUGAGUGGACGUUACUCGCAGAAUAAGCACCGGCUAACUCUGUGCCAGCAGCCGCCGUAA